RNAcentral lists this ribosomal RNA (253 nucleotides) under uncultured bacterium. Its description in RNAcentral is "partial 16S ribosomal RNA". It matches the Rfam family "Bacterial small subunit ribosomal RNA", at positions 524 to 776 of the family's 1533-position model. The record is from RNAcentral.
UACGAGGGGGGCGAGCGUUGUUCGGAAUUAUUGGGCGUAAAGGGCGCGCAGGCGGUCGGAUAAGUCUUGUGUGAAAUCUUCGGGCUCAACUCGAAGUCUGCACAGGAAACUAUCUGGCUUGAGUGUGGGAGAGGUGAGUGGAAUUCCUGGUGUAGCGGUGAAAUGCGUAGAUAUCAGGAGGAACACCUGUGGCGAAAGCGGCUCACUGGACCACAACUGACGCUGAGGCGCGAAAGCUAGGGGAGCAAACAGG